AGAAACUAAAAAUGGAAGCCCUCGACUCGAGACAUGUCUCACUUUCAUCUCCCUCUCUCUUCCGUGAGUAUUCUUCUCCGAACCCUCUCCCUAUUGAAAAAACAUGAAUGCCCUCGCUCUGAUAAGCUGUCUGGACCUCUGCCUCUCUUUCAUCUCUCUUUAUCUCUUUGUUCUCCCUGCAUCUCUCUCUCUCUCUCUCUCUCUCUCUCUCUCUCUCUCUCUCUCUCUCUCUCUCUAUGAACUUACUCCGUGGGUGUGUGACACAAUGAGCAGUUGAGCUUAGGGUGUGCGUGCUGCAAUUUCAACUCUGCUAGACUACAACUGAAGAGUGGAAGAAGAUACUUCACUCAUCACCAAGUUUGGGUGGGACUUUGCAUCCAUGAAGCCCUGUGCUACUGAGCCUGAUCUUUAUCAAUUAGGGGCUUGUGUUCGGACUUCGACUGCUGAGCUCCUCCUUUGGCAUAUUGAGGGCUACUGCCACUGCAGGGUCUUGGGAAGAUGAUCAUAAUCCGGAUGGGAAUCUUUUGUUGCGCAACACGUUGUAUAGCUCAGUCUAAGGGCUGAGAGCACCUUGGGCUGCACAUCCAUGCCAUGGGCUGAGUGUCUGAGGGCUCCCAGCAGUCUGUGCUACAGUGUAGCGCACUACAGAGUAGCCCGAUCCUCAUAAUGCAGAAGGUGCAAAUUCUACUGUUCUCAGCAACUCCAGUGGAAACAAGAUUCGUUGUUAUAGGAGAAUGGUACACCACCAAGUGCUUCACUAUCCAAUAUUCUCAUCCAAAGGCGGGAGGGACACUGUUGACUCUCUAGAGAUCAAACCAAACAUGAAUAAUAUACAGAGAAAUUGGAAAGUAAUGAAAAUAAGGCAAAUUUGAAUCAUAAUGCUUCUACUAGUGGUGUAGGGCCACGUUGCCUUAUAGGGAACCUUCUCCCUUAUUUUAAAUAAUAAUUUUAUAAUCUAAAUAAAUUAAUUAAGAGGAGACAUUGAAAAAAAUUUCGAUGACAUACACAUAUCUCUUACACA
This is a long non-coding RNA of Macadamia integrifolia, 1021 nucleotides long. RefSeq lists it as uncharacterized. The transcript is spliced from 4 exons. NCBI's taxonomy places the organism in Eukaryota, Viridiplantae, Streptophyta, Magnoliopsida, Proteales, Proteaceae. The record is from RefSeq and is a predicted model, not a curated record.